This is a non-coding RNA of Vicugna pacos (alpaca), 1324 nucleotides long. The record is from RefSeq and is a predicted model, not a curated record. Lineage: Eukaryota; Metazoa; Chordata; Mammalia; Artiodactyla; Camelidae.
CAAAGAAAGAUAGAUACUGCAUGAUCUCCCUUAUAUGUGGUAUCUUAAAAAAAAAAUCAUAGGUUCAAAGAAUGGUUUGGUGGUUGCCAGAGGUGGGUUGUGGGGGGUGAGCAAAAUGAAUGUGGUCAAAAGAUAGAAACUUCCAGUUGUGAAAUAAGUAAGUCCUGGGGAUGUGAGGGUCAGCCUGGUGACCAUGGUCAAUAACACUGUGUGGUAUAUUUGGAAGCUGCUCAGAGAGUAGAUCCUAGAAGUUCUCAUGACAAGAAAACAAUUUUUUAACUUUGUGUGGUGAUGGAUGUUAACUAGACACACUGUAAUCAUCAUUUUGCAAUAGAUGCAUAUAUUGAAUCAUCAUGUCACACACCUGAAACUAACAUAACGUUGUAUGUCAAUUACAGCUCAAGUUUUUAGAAAGUGAGACCUAGUGAGAUCCAGCCCUUUAAAAAAGAACACUUGUAAUAAAGAUGUUUCUAAAGAAAAUGUUAAAACAUAGCCUGUACAUUCCUCACUUUGCAACUCUUCUCCAUCAACUUGCCUCUCUUCAGUGAUAUCAAAUUGAGUGGAAACAGAUAUCCUCUAGACGUUUCUUCAGGUACAAGGGAAGAUACCACCUAGGCGUCUAGCAACGUACAAACGAAUUAUCAGGCAUGUACUAUUACCAUCAUUCUGAAGAUGAGGACUCUGGAUCUCUGAAAAUUCAUCACUAGCCUGUACACUCACGAAGAGGAAAUGGGAGAGGCAUCUAGAACAGUGGCUAUGAGAUCCUGACGUUCUGUAGAAGCACCAGCAUGUAGCUGCCCAGAGGACAAGUCCAGCUGAGAAAGUGACAUCACGGAAGGCACAGAAAAUGACCAGGAAGAAAUAGCCAAUGCUUACGGGCAAGGAGCAUUCGGAGCAGUCUAAAACCAACCCCAUGUCUGACGACUUGAGGUUGGUGGGGCUGUCAUUCCCUGUGUCACGUCUGGUGCCACACUGAGAAAACCGGGUGCGUAUUAGUUACAGAAAGCCUUGUUAUAUAAACCGGAGACCAGCCUUUAAUCUAAAAGUUUGAAGCGGUUCUGAACUUUCUUACUUUCCAGGUUCUUUUUUAAAAAAGAUGGAGUUUUGGACAGUAGUUUAAAGGAGAGAAAACACAAAUAAUAGGUAUAUGAGGAAAUAGUUACAUGAAAACUAUUAAAAUACCAGAAAAAAAUAAUAAUUCUUGGUGCUGAUGAAGUUGCAAAAAUAUGGCUCACUGGUAUUGCCGGGGACAGCACAUAUGUGUAUCAUAUUGUUUCUUCCCCAAACCAUUGUCAGUAUGUAUCAGGGAGUUUAAAAAUAAUGG